Molecule: ribosomal RNA, 365 nt
Filed under: uncultured bacterium
Lineage: Bacteria
Description: partial 16S ribosomal RNA
Rfam family: Bacterial small subunit ribosomal RNA
Source: RNAcentral
CCUACGGGGGGCAGCAGUGAGGAAUAUUGGUCAAUGGGCGCGAGCCUGAACCAGCCAAGGAGCGUGAAGGAUGACUGCCCUACGGGUUGUAAACUUCUGUUAUAAAGGAAGAAAGUGAGGCACGUGUGCCGUUUUGUAUGUACGUUAUGAAUAAGGAUCGGCUAACUCCGUGCCAGCAGCCGCGGGAAUACGGAGGAUCCGAGCGUUAUCCGGAUUUAUUGGGUGUAAAGGGAGCGUAGAGGGGUUGUUAAGUCAGUGGUGAAAGUUUGCGGCGCAACCGUAAAAUUGCAAUUGAUACUGGCAGUCUUGAGUACAGUUGCGGUCGGCGGAAUUCGUGGUGUAGCUGUGCACUGCUUCGCUAUCAC